This 319-nucleotide ribosomal RNA is filed under the name uncultured Pseudomonadota bacterium. RNAcentral describes it as "bacterial SSU rRNA". It matches the Rfam family "Bacterial small subunit ribosomal RNA", at positions 30 to 351 of the family's 1533-position model. The record is from RNAcentral. Lineage: Bacteria; Pseudomonadati; Pseudomonadota.
AUUGAACGCUGGCGGUAUGCUUAACACAUGCAAGUCGAACGGUAGCAGGCCUUCGGGCGCUGACGAGUGGCGGACGGGUGAGUAACGCGUAGGAAUCUGCCUCAUAGUGGGGGACAACGUGGGGAAACCCACGCUAAUACCGCAUACGCCUACGGGGAAAGGACGGGGAGUCGUAAGACCUCGCGCUAUGAGAUGAGCCUGCGUUAGAUUAGCUAGUUGGUAGGGUAAAGGCCUACCAAGGCGACGAUCUAUAGCUGGUCUGAGAGGACGAUCAGCCACACUGGGACUGAGACACGGCCCAGACACCUACGGGUGGCUG